Phacochoerus africanus (Common warthog) is the source of this 1587-nucleotide long non-coding RNA. RefSeq lists it as uncharacterized. The transcript has 9 exons. NCBI's taxonomy places the organism in Eukaryota, Metazoa, Chordata, Mammalia, Artiodactyla, Suidae. The record is from RefSeq and is a predicted model, not a curated record.
UGGGACGGUCGCCAGCUGGGACUUCUCUCCGCCUUUCAGUUUGGGGCUCUCGACGUGCCUUUACUGCCCAGGUGACAGGGGUGACCAGAGAGGACUUGCUCUAUUAUUAUUAUUAUUAAGUCUCUUCUGCCCUAGACCUGAGCUUCUUAAAAGUAAGAACUCCUGUGAUCAGUCGUCGUCACCCACCGCUCCCGCAGUGCGGAGGGCUCGCCAGGGGCCCACUCUCUUCAGUUGGCUGAAGAGAGUGGGUGCUUAGUAGCCAAGAGGAGGGAGUUGGAAACCUGGAAUUAGGAAUCCCGGCUGCGCGCCCCUCCCUCGCCACCUGCCGCCUAGCGUGGUGCAUCUUCAGGUCUCCCAUCUAGGCUGAGGCUCUGCUUGCGGUUCUGGAAGGUGGUGAGAAGAGUGCAGCGAAAAUGGAAGGACAAGCAACAAACUGGGAGAAAAUAUUUGCAAAAAUACAUAUCUGAUAAAUGACUGUAUCCAGACUCUAUGAAGAACUACAACUUGAUAAGAAGUGGCAGUGGCAGCCAGAGUCUUCAUUCUGCUUAAGUGCUCCGGGCUCCUAAGAGGCCCUUGGAGAAGACUGCAUAGAACCUGGAAACCUUCCAGUUUCACUUAGAGAAUUCAGUGUCACUCAUAGUUCCCUGGCUGUGAGUUCAAGUUCAUCUUUGGCAUCAGCCGAUUCUGUUUCCAGCUCUGCAGUUCUUUCCAGGUCUCCUAACCUGUACCUGUACCAGAAAGUCUGACCUCCUGGUAAUGUAGACGAGGAGGCCGUGCUGUGAAUGAGUUCUCCACUGCGUCCUCACUGGUGUUUCAGGAGCUCCUGGAAAGCUUCAAAGAGGAGGUGGCUUAGAAGUGGGCUUUGAAAGCCGAGUUCACCAAGCGGAGAAGUGGGGAUUCAUCUUUCCAGAGUAGCUGGGGCAGGUGUGAAGGAGCAUAUCAAGUGUUCAGGGAAUUCAGGCAAUUAGAUACAGUUAACAUUUUCCUGAGCCACCAUUUCCCUCUAUUUAGCAUGUGACCUGAUAUUUGAGAAAAGCUCAACUAUGGAAUGAAAAACCAGGAAUGGAUGUCCUCCAAAUUUUAAUUUUCUUCUCAGUUAUACUAGCCUUUACAAAGCUGUUGUGAAAAAUGAGAUGACCAGAAGAAAUUCACCUUUCAGUGGCAGCUGCCACUAACACACAGAAGCACUCAUUCAAGAUGGCUUAAAGGAGACAGUGACUCAAUGUAUGACUGGAAAAUAGAGCAAUUCAGGCAAGUGUGAAAGGAAUUAAUAUUUUCUAAUAACUCCUCCAAGAUGAACAGUUGCUUAUUAGGAUGUACAUUUGAUUUAAUUAUUCUCAAAACUGGCUAUUUUUGGAGGGGAAGGCAGUGUGAAGCAAGAAGGGAAGGGGCAAUUGUCUUUAGAAUCCCUAAUUAACACAAGUGUCUGCUUUCAGAAAAUCCUUCAUUUGAGCUAUUUCUUUUCACUAUUUCCUAUGGGGUGCAUGACAUUUUAGAAUUCUUGGUUUCAGCAGCAACCCAAAAAGACAGAAUUGCAAACUUGCACAUCAAAAAUGGAAUAAAAAAAGCACCAUGAUUUGGAACAAA